Molecule: long non-coding RNA, 604 nt
Organism: Archocentrus centrarchus (flier cichlid)
Lineage: Eukaryota; Metazoa; Chordata; Actinopteri; Cichliformes; Cichlidae
Exons: 4
Source: RefSeq, a predicted model, not a curated record
CAGUCCCCUCAGACUGAGGGGUUCGUUAGAAACAUAAUCCUUCAAGCACUGAACAGAUGUGGCUUCAGCAGUGAUGCAAGUAGUGAAGCAGGCAACAUUUCACUUUGGUCUCUUUAAACUGCGCGAGUUUUGCGCUUUGAAGUCCUCGAAAAUCUCCUGACCACUCGCGGUAUUGGCGUUGAGCUUGCCUCCGCCGGCGCGCACGCUCUCCUCGUCCGGGCAGAAAACUACAGCCAAAGAAGCCGCGGAGAGUUGGACAAGUCGCUGCUGUCCAAGUAAACACCGAGGUUUGCCACGCAUUCCUCCGGUGUGCGUCUGAAACCUGCAAUGUGUGAACCCGAGGCGCAGAGGACGUCCGACUGGUUUCUCUCGGCUUCCAGCGAAACGAGUGACGGCGGCAGAAAGGAGGAGGACUCACCAGCCUGUCGCUGCUGCUGCUGCUCCUGCUGCUGUUGCUGGGACAUACAGGUGGACCUCCCACCGACUGCUCACAGGCUCUUCCCAAGCAGUAUGGAGGAAGAUUUACCUGCAGUACUGCAAAGAGAAAGAAGCCACUUCAGCAAAAUACUACAUGGACUAUUUGACAUUUUACAUUUCCCCUACC